This 77-nucleotide transfer RNA is filed under the name Escherichia coli. RNAcentral's name for it is "tRNA-Arg". It matches the Rfam family "tRNA". From Rfam's summary of the family: Transfer RNA (tRNA) molecules are approximately 80 nucleotides in length. Their secondary structure includes four short double-helical elements and three loops (D, anti-codon, and T loops). The record is from RNAcentral. Lineage: Bacteria; Pseudomonadati; Pseudomonadota; Gammaproteobacteria; Enterobacterales; Enterobacteriaceae.
CCGUCACUAGCUCAUCCGGAUAGAGCAUCAGCCUUCGAAGUUGAUGGCGCGGGGUUCGAGUCUCCGGUGACGGUCCA